Molecule: non-coding RNA, 69 nt
Organism: Rattus norvegicus (Norway rat)
Lineage: Eukaryota; Metazoa; Chordata; Mammalia; Rodentia; Muridae
Source: Rfam
GGGGAUUUAGCUCAGCAGUAGAGCGCUUGCCUAGCAAGCACAAGGCCCUGGGUUCAGUCCCCAGCUCCG